This 254-nucleotide ribosomal RNA is filed under the name uncultured bacterium. Its description in RNAcentral is "partial 16S ribosomal RNA". It matches the Rfam family "Bacterial small subunit ribosomal RNA", at positions 524 to 776 of the family's 1533-position model. The record is from RNAcentral.
UACGUAGGGUGCAGGCGUUAAUCGGAAUUACUGGGCGUAAAGCGUGCGCAGGCGGUCUUUUAAGUCAGAUGUGAAAUCCCCGGGCUUAACCUGGGAACUGCGUUUGAAACUGGAAGGCUAGAGUGUGGCAGAGGGGGGUGGAAUUCCGACGUGUAGCAGUGAAAUGCGUAGAUAUGUGGAGGAACACCGAUGGCGAAGGCAGCCCCCUGGGCUAACACUGACGCUCAUGCACGAAAGCGUGGGGAGCAAACAGG